Long non-coding RNA from Coffea eugenioides, 422 nucleotides. RefSeq lists it as uncharacterized. The transcript is spliced from 3 exons. The record is from RefSeq and is a predicted model, not a curated record. Lineage: Eukaryota; Viridiplantae; Streptophyta; Magnoliopsida; Gentianales; Rubiaceae.
UCCAAAAUUGCCUAUUCUUAGCAAGAUGGCUCGUGAUAUUCUUGCAAUUCCAGCUACUACUGUGGCAUCGGAAUCAGCAUUUAGCGUUGCCGGAAGGGUAAUUGAUGAGACCCGUGCUACUUUGCUUCCUGAUGUGGUCGAAGCUUUGAUAACAACUGGAGAUUGGUUACCUUUGAAAAAGAAAAGAAAAGUAUUUGGAGAAGAUUUGGGUGAUUCUUCUAAAGUUCCCAAGUUAGGGUGAUGUAUUUGAAAAAUUGUGAAACAUGAGAGCCAUGAAGACUAUUGUAAUCUACAGGACUUCAUUAGUUGGUUGAUGUAUUUGGAAUUUAUGUUUGAUUGGACUUUUUAGAAAUUGUAAUUUGUUGGAUGUCAUAUUGGCUUUGUUGCUAAUAUUGGCUUUGUUGAAAUUGUAAUUUGUUGGA